ACUCCUACGGGAGGCAGCAGUGAGGAAUAUUGGACAAUGGGCGAGGGCCUGAUCCAGCCAUGCCGCGUGCAGGAAGAAUGCCCUAUGGGUAGUAAACUGCUUUUAUACGGGAAGAAAAGGGCACGUGUGCCCUGUUGACGGUACCGUAAGAAUAAGGACCGGCUAACUCCGUGCCAGCAGCCGCGGUAAUACGGAGGGUCCGAGCGUUAUCCGGAUUCACUGGGUUUAAAGGGUGCGUAGGCUGCUGUGUAAGUCUGUUGUGAAAGGCGCCGGCUCAACCGGGCGGACUGCAAUGGAUACUGCACGGCUUGAAUUGGGUUCAGGUUGGCGGAAUGCGGCAUGUAGCGGUGAAAUGCUUAGAUAUGCCGUAGAACACCGAUUGCGAAGGCAGCUGGCUGGGCCUAUAUUGACGCUGAGGCACGAAAGCGUGGGGGAGCGAACAGGAUUAGAUACCCUGUAGGUCAGUC
This 467-nucleotide ribosomal RNA is filed under the name uncultured bacterium. RNAcentral describes it as "bacterial SSU rRNA". It matches the Rfam family "Bacterial small subunit ribosomal RNA", at positions 335 to 800 of the family's 1533-position model. The record is from RNAcentral.